This 453-nucleotide ribosomal RNA is filed under the name uncultured bacterium. RNAcentral describes it as "bacterial SSU rRNA". It matches the Rfam family "Bacterial small subunit ribosomal RNA", at positions 8 to 507 of the family's 1533-position model. The record is from RNAcentral.
AGAGUUUGAUCCUGGCUCAGAACGAACGCUGGCGGCAGGCCUAACACAUGCAAGUCGAACGAGGUAGCAAUACCUAGUGGCGGACGGGUGAGUAACACGUGGGAACGUACCCUUUGCUACGGAAUAGCCCUGGGAAACUGGGAGUAAUACCGUAUGAGCCCGAGAGGGGAAAGAUUUAUCGGCAAAGGAUCGGCCCGCGUUGGAUUAGGUAGUUGGUGGGGUAAUGGCUUACCAAGCCGACGAUCCAUAGCUGGUUUGAGAGGAUGAUCAGCCACACUGGGACUGAGACACGGCCCAGACUCCUACGGGAGGCAGCAGUGGGGAAUCUUAGACAAUGGGGGAAACCCUGAUCUAGCCAUGCCGCGUGAUCGAUGAAGGCCUUAGGGUUGUAAAGACCUUUCAGGUGGGAAGAUAAUGACUGUACCACCAGAAGAAGCCCCGGCUAACUCCGUG